UUGUGGAUGUAUAAAAAAAUGAAUUGGGAGAUGAUCAUAUUGGUUGUCUUUGUCACUAUAGACAUGGUCAAAGUUGUCACAAAAUUUGGUUAUAUCUUACUUCUUAUUUGCACCAAGAUGUUAUAAGAAGUUGGAUACCCUGCAUUAAUCAUGCUUUUCAUUAUUAUCUGGUCAAAUCUUUUUUUAGACCUCACCCCACCC
RNAcentral lists this long non-coding RNA (201 nucleotides) under Mytilus galloprovincialis (Mediterranean mussel). The record is from RNAcentral. Lineage: Eukaryota; Metazoa; Mollusca; Bivalvia; Mytilida; Mytilidae.